GGAAAGAUGAAAAGAACUUUGAAAAGAGAGUUAAAUAGUACGUGAAAUUGUUGAAGGGGAACGAUUGAAGUCAGUCUGCCAGUGGGAAUCAACUUAGAGAAACUCUAAGUGCACUUCUUUGCUUGGCAGGUCAAUGUCGAUUUUGGAUGUCAUAAAAUGAUUGGGGGAAGGUAGCUCUUUUUGGAGUGUUAUAGCCUUUGGUAGAUGUGAUGUCUGGGAUCGAGGAUUGCAAUGGAUACCCUUUAGGGCUAGCCAUCUGAUCUCUAAUCAGUAUUGGAUUACGGAUAGCAUGCUGACUGUGAUUCAAUUAUUGGUUAAAAGAUUAGAGCGUGCAUAAAUUCAUUAAGGACGUUGACGUAAUGGCUUUAAACGACCGUCUUGAAACACGGACCA
This 393-nucleotide ribosomal RNA is filed under the name Entrophospora infrequens. Its description in RNAcentral is "LSU rRNA". It matches the Rfam family "Eukaryotic large subunit ribosomal RNA", at positions 358 to 668 of the family's 3401-position model. Lineage: Eukaryota; Fungi; Glomeromycota; Glomeromycetes; Entrophosporales; Entrophosporaceae. The record is from RNAcentral.